Molecule: ribosomal RNA, 496 nt
Filed under: uncultured bacterium
Lineage: Bacteria
Description: partial 16S ribosomal RNA
Rfam family: Bacterial small subunit ribosomal RNA
Source: RNAcentral
AUGAACGCUGGCGGCGUGCCUCAUACAUGCAAGUCGAGCGAACGGACGAGAAGCUUGCUUCUCUGAUGUUAGCGGCGGACGGGUGAGUAACACGUGGAUAACCUACCUAUAAGACUGGGAUAACUUCGGGAAACCGGAGCUAAUACCGGAUAAUAUUUUGAACCGCAUGGUUCAAAGGUGAAAGACGGUCUUGCUGUCACUUAUAGAUGGAUCCGCGCUGCAUUAGCUAGUUGGUAAGGUAACGGCUUACCAAGGCAACGAUGCAUAGCCGACCUGAGAGGGUGAUCGGCCACACUGGAACUGAGACACGGUCCAGACUCCUACGGGAGGCAGCAGUAGGGAAUCUUCCGCAAUGGGCGAAAGCCUGACGGAGCAACGCCGCGUGAGUGAUGAAGGUCUUCGGAUCGUAAAACUCUGUUAUUAGGGAAGAACAUAUGUGUAAGUAACUGUGCACAUCUUGACGGUACCUAAUCAGAAAGCCACGGCUAACUACGUG